This 738-nucleotide ribosomal RNA is filed under the name Triticum aestivum (bread wheat). RNAcentral describes it as "partial small subunit ribosomal RNA". Lineage: Eukaryota; Viridiplantae; Streptophyta; Magnoliopsida; Poales; Poaceae. The record is from RNAcentral.
AUGGCCGUGGUGUUGAGGGUGCUGGUUAUUCCCCCUGGACCUAGUAAUGCUAGUGCUUCACAGAGGCAGGGUUUCGGUAUUGAUGUUGUUGUUUCAGCGUUGGAGCACGCUGAGCAUAUCUUAAGUAAUGUGUGUUCUGAGCUGCAAAAGGUCCCAACGACAGUUGAGCGCUUGAGCUGUAUCAAUGGUAUCCUUCCUGAAGGUCAUCAAUUUAACGUUGAGGAAGCUGUUGACUACAUUGAGAUGAAGAGAAUUUUAAUCGGUGAUAUGCGUGACAGUGCCGCUAAUCUAGUUCAGAGCUUGGUUCGUCUGUUGAACAACAUGAAGCGUUUCAGAACUACGCAAAACUCUCACUGCAAGCCAUAUGAAGAAAGUGCAAAUGUUGUUAUCAAGCAGUUUGAGCAGGAUGAGGCUGCUGCCACCGACAGCAGGGCUGGUGAUGGUACUGAGGCUAAUGUUUUUGAUCAUGAAACGAAUGAUGUUGGCUUUGAGCGUCCUGAUGUUGAUGUGAGUCAGAUGAGGCUGCUGGCACCGACAGCAGGGCUGAUGAUGGUACUGAGGCUAAUGUUUCUGAUCAGCAUACAAACGAUGUUGGCUUGCAGCACCCUGUUGUUGAUGAGACCAGUCAUAAUGUUGAGGCUGCUGUUGACUGUGGAGUUAAUGAUCCAUCCACUGAUAAGUGCAAGGAUCCUAUUGUUGGCGAUGAGCCUUGUUUGCCCGUUGGUGAUGUUGCUUUGA